UGCCAGCCGCCGCGGUAACACGGGGGGCGCAAGCGUUAUUCGGAAUUAUUGGGCGUAAAGGGCGCGCAGGCGGUCUUGUCCGUCAGGUGUGAAAGCUCGGGGCUCAACCCCGUAAGUGCACUUGAAACAGCAAGACUUGAAUACGGUAGAGGAGAGAGGAAUUCCUGGUGUAGAGGUGAAAUUCGUAGAUAUUGGGUAGAACACCGGUGGCGAAGGCGGCCACCUGGGAGGGUACUGACGCUGAGACGCGAAAGCUAAGGUAGCGAACGGGAUUAGAUA
Molecule: ribosomal RNA, 279 nt
Filed under: uncultured bacterium
Lineage: Bacteria
Description: partial 16S ribosomal RNA
Rfam family: Bacterial small subunit ribosomal RNA
Source: RNAcentral